UCCCCAUGUCGGUGUGUGUUUGCUCUGCCGUUCAGGGAAGGUUGUUUUCUCCCACAAACAGUUAUUCAUGCUCAAUGAACUACUCCAGAAGGUUCAGCUGGGUUCUCUUACUUAUUCCAACAACACAAGGGAGAUUCUGGUACCCUUCUCAUGCACAGUUUAAAUCCUAACCCUAACCCUGUCUAAUAUAUAUUUAUAACCCCGUCUAACAGAUAUUUAGCUCUAGCGACCAUCUCCAGUGGGGCAAUUAGUUACCUGUGUGAGGGGCAGUUAGUUACCUUUAGUUACCUGUGUGAGGGGCAGUUAUUUACAGUUAGUUACCUGUGUGAGGGGCAGUUAGUUACCUGUGUGACUGGGUGCUGCUAGGAGAAGUGGUCAGAAACAAAUGGUCAAGACCUGAAGAGGUCACAGGAAAGCUUUGAAGAGACCAGAGGGAAGCUGAAACGGACGACAUCAGGGGAAAGCAGGAGACCUUGUGAGGAGGCUGAAGCCAUGAAAAGAUUGUGGGGAAUCUGAAGAGAUCUGUGUGAAGCCUGACGAGAUCUGGGUAGAAGACUGCACAGCUGGUGAGAAGACUGCACAGCUGGUGAGAAGACUGCACAGCUGGUGAGAAGACUGAGGAGCUGAAGAGAAGAACCUGUGAAGAAACCAGGAAGAAGCUGAAGACCAAGUGAAGCAGGAGAGAUGAGACACCAAGAUGAGUGCCUUUAGUGAGACACCAAGUAAACAAGAUUACCUACAAUCCCAAGCAGCAUCCACAGCAUCACUGUUGUGAAACCAAGGUCAAAGCCUGCCCCAUCAAUGUUCUGUGUGUAAAAGACAUUUAGUGACAUUAGUCCCCCUGUUAGGAUGCUGGAGAAUAUGUUUGCUACAUUGUUUAUUCCUUUUGUGUUACAGGUUCACAAUAUUUUCAUUCAUAAUUAAUUUCUUUGUCAAAUUUCAUGACCGUAAGCAAGUGAGGAUCGUCAGGGAGGGAAACCGUGCUAAUUCCCUCACAAAACCCUUGUCUGCCAAACCGCUUGGAGACGAGGUUGUUGCCAAACCGCUUGGAGACGAGGUUGUUGGCUGAUGCAGACCUGAUAACGACUCAGCUGCAUUAGAAUCAUAAUUUAUUUUUCAUUGAGCAAGUCCAACAAAAUUAAAAUAAAUUAGUGUCAUGUU
Alosa sapidissima (American shad) is the source of this 1161-nucleotide long non-coding RNA. RefSeq lists it as uncharacterized. Lineage: Eukaryota; Metazoa; Chordata; Actinopteri; Clupeiformes; Clupeidae. The record is from RefSeq and is a predicted model, not a curated record. The transcript has 2 exons.